CUCGAGCAGUUUCCAGUACUGGAUUGAAAAGAUGGCCUUUGCUGCAUCUGCUUGAGCAAGGAAAGCCAAGAAACCUUUGCUUUGGAAGGAGAAAAUCCAGAAAGCGGGAAGGAAGAAAAGAAGCUCCCUGACUCCUCCUGAGCCCCAGACAGCCCAUGAACUGCCUUGCUGGGAAUGGUAGGAUGGGGUGGACUCUGGAUUGCUCCCUCUGGAUGUGUGGAACUCCAGGAACUCCUGGUGCCACCUGGGCCGAUGGAUUGGACGCCCCAGCCCCUCCGUUCCUGCCCAGCCCCUGGGUCCGUGUCCAGUGGUGGCACUGCCAGCCCUGCAGUGGGAUGUAGCCUGGAAACUGCAGAGAGCUGAGCCAAGGGAUUGAAAGGGACCAAGCAAGGGAGGUGAAGAAAGAAGGAAGAAGGGAAGUGAGGCAGCAGCCAAGCAGCAGCAAGUUGCUGUGUAAGCAGAGGGAUAAUAACUCCUGUCAGCAGCAAGGUCCUGACUGAAGUGGCAGCUGCAGUUGUUCCUGUGGUGUGGGCCAGUGGAAUUCCAAGAAAUGGACAAGGACAGAAGCUGUAAGAAUUACCCCUAAGCCAGAGUCUCUCCUGGUAAGGCAAACCCAGUAUCCUUUAAAAUU
Pseudopipra pipra is the source of this 631-nucleotide long non-coding RNA. RefSeq lists it as uncharacterized. The transcript has 4 exons. NCBI's taxonomy places the organism in Eukaryota, Metazoa, Chordata, Aves, Passeriformes, Pipridae. The record is from RefSeq and is a predicted model, not a curated record.